GAGGGAGCAGGCGGUGGGGCCCUGUCGGUCUGCCCGCCCGGCUGAGGCUCUCUGGCUCCUUCAGGCGGCAGGGCUGGGGCCCAGGGGCUGGGCAGGUGGGGACAAGCAGGAAGGUGAGGUGGGAGGGCUGAGGAGUCCAGCCUGCAAACCCUGCUUUAUUGUGCCACCUAAAGGCCGACACAGCCCAUGACAGACAGACGCGGCCUCUCCUCCUCCGCGGGAGCCCCGGGGCCUCGGCCAGGGCGGGCGGGCGGGCAGGGGGAUGGCGGAGCUUUCUCGCAGGCUCGUUGGGUAAACGGUCCUUUGGCUCUGGGUGCUUCAGAGGGACACGGGGGUGCUGCAGGGAGGGUGUGCCUGAAGGGCACGAGGACCAGACCGCGACAGCAGUCAGACUGGUAAGAGAAGGCCUCGGUGAGCACCCAUGUGCCCAGGCCGUGUGGGGUGCCGUACCGACAAGGGUGCGGACCCCCGAUGGGUGUGGGGGUCCUCCCUCCUCCCUGCCCCAGGCUCCAGGCUCCUGCCGGCCUUGGCGGGCUCGCCGUGCCUCUCAACCAGGGCUUCUGCUAUUGUAGAGCUGAGCUCCAUCCAGCCUCAGGGGGAGGCAGAGGGCACCCUGGUGUCCACACCAGUGCCCUGGUUGAGGCAGCUUAUCAGGGGCUCCGCAGCGAGGAGCCCAGGGCCUGGCUCACUGGGAUGAACAAGCAAGAACACAGGAGCCCCGGACCGCAGACACGACCACCCGUACCUAGCCGCCGACACGCACAGGGACGUGCCGAGGACUGCGUGAAAACAGACCACGGGGUUCUAGCCGUGCCCGCCAGCCACCGGAAGCCAUCAGGCAAACGACGGAGGAAGCACAGAAGAGGCCGAGGAGAUGACGACAGAUACAGAGAGCAGCUUCUAAAGAGCUCGGCAUUCCAGAGGCUGGGGUGUGCCUCCGAGAGCGGAGGAGCCUCAGCAUCUGAUCUUCCAGGAAAAAGCCAGGCCUGCGGCCACAGGGGAUGACAGCCGAGACACGUCUGCAGGAAGGCGAGAGCGGCGAAUCCACAGCGCGGGCCAAUCGAUGGCAGGCGCUGGAGGCCGUCCUGGGGGCACGGCAGGGGACAGGGGACAGGGAGCGAGGACAGUGAUUCAUGCCGCUGAGCCUGCCAGCACCGAGGGGGAGGACAGGCGCUCGCCUUGGCUGGGACAAAAUAUUAUUCUUAAAAGUCUACGGAAGAAAACAACAAUAAAACAACUCAGGCUC
This is a long non-coding RNA of Felis catus (domestic cat), 1246 nucleotides long. RefSeq lists it as uncharacterized. NCBI's taxonomy places the organism in Eukaryota, Metazoa, Chordata, Mammalia, Carnivora, Felidae. The transcript has 2 exons. The record is from RefSeq and is a predicted model, not a curated record.